AUUGAACGCUGGCGGCAGGCCUAACACAUGCAAGUCGAACGAGUGGCGGACGGGUGAGUAAUGUCUGGGAAACUGCCUGAUGGAGGGGGAUAACUACUGGAAACGGUAGCUAAUACCGCAUACCAUCAGAUGUGCCCCGAUGGGAUUAGCUAGUUGGUGGGGAAACGGCUCACCAAGGCGACGAUCCCUAGCUGGUCUGAGAGGCUGAACGACCACACUGGAACUGAGACACGGUCCAGGCUCCUACGGUAGGCAGCAGUGGGGAAUAGUGCACAAUGGGCGCAAGCCUGACGCAGCCAUGCCGCGUGUAUGAAGAAGGCCUUCGGGUUGUAAAGUACUUUCAGCGGUGAGGCGUUACCCGCAGAAGAAGCACCGGCUAACUCCGUGCCAGCAGCGGCGGUAAUUC
RNAcentral lists this ribosomal RNA (406 nucleotides) under uncultured bacterium. Its description in RNAcentral is "partial 16S ribosomal RNA". It matches the Rfam family "Bacterial small subunit ribosomal RNA", at positions 30 to 526 of the family's 1533-position model. The record is from RNAcentral.